GAUGAACGCUGGCGGCGUGCUUAACACAUGCAAGUCGAACGAUGAAGCCCAGCUUGCUGGGUGGAUUAGUGGCGAACGGGUGAGUAACACGUGAGUAACCUGCCCUUAACUCUGGGAUAAGCCUGGGAAACUGGGUCUAAUACCGGAUAGGAGCGUCCACCGCAUGGUGGGUGUUGGAACGAUUUAUCGGUUUUGGAUGGACUCGCGGCCUAUCAGCUUGUUGGUGAGGUAAUGGCUCACCAAGGCGACGACGGGUAGCCGGCCUGAGAGGGUGACCGGCCACACUGGGACUGAGACACGGCCCAGACUCCUACGGGAGGCAGCAGUGGGGAAUAUUGCACAAUGGGCGCAAGCCUGAUGCAGCGACGCCGCGUGAGGGAUGACGGCCUUCGGGUUGUAAACCUCUUUCAGUAGGGAAGAAGCGAAAGUGACGGUACCUGCAGAAGAAGCACCGGCUAACUACGUG
Molecule: ribosomal RNA, 466 nt
Filed under: uncultured bacterium
Lineage: Bacteria
Description: partial 16S ribosomal RNA
Rfam family: Bacterial small subunit ribosomal RNA
Source: RNAcentral